RNAcentral lists this ribosomal RNA (216 nucleotides) under Campeiostachys nutans. RNAcentral's name for it is "Elymus nutans partial small subunit ribosomal RNA". The stretch from base 40 to 216 matches the Rfam family "Eukaryotic small subunit ribosomal RNA", at positions 686 to 864 of the family's 1831-position model. The record is from RNAcentral. Lineage: Eukaryota; Viridiplantae; Streptophyta; Magnoliopsida; Poales; Poaceae.
GGGUUAGUAGGUUGGUCAUGCCUCUGGUAUGUACUGGUCUCACUGAUUCCUCCUUCCUGAUGAACCUUAAUGCCAUUAAUCUGGUGUUUUGGGGAAUUUGGACUGUUACUUCGAAAAAAUUAGACUGUUUAAAGCAAGCUAACGCUUGAAUACAUUAGCAUGGAAUAAUGAAAUAGGACGUUCGAUCCUAUUUAGUUGGUUUCUAGGAUUGACGUA